Molecule: long non-coding RNA, 553 nt
Filed under: Mytilus galloprovincialis (Mediterranean mussel)
Lineage: Eukaryota; Metazoa; Mollusca; Bivalvia; Mytilida; Mytilidae
Source: RNAcentral
GAAAAAACGUUACCUGAUGAAAGCGUUUCUUUUGUUUACAUCGAAUAUGACGUCAUAACUUAAAGAACGUCACAGCUAAUUCCCUAACAACAGAAUCAAAAUCGGGAACGUUACGUACGGUAUUUCGGUUUCUAUUAUCAACGUGAUUGAAUUAAAAAAAUAAUACAUACAGACUUCGUCCCCAUUCACAGGUUAUGCCUGCCUCAUAUUAUUUGGUUUAUUAUUGUAUUUUUUUGUGUGUUUUGUAUUUUUUAUAGUUAGUGUUCCAAAAAAUAUGAAAACUUGACGUACGUGACGUCACAUACCAAACAAUGACGUCAUUCAAUAAAUUGCGUCACGCCCGAAUGACCGUUCUAUUGUAUUUUUAGGGGGGGAUUUAAGCUUACAUAAAUAAAAACUGACUUUAAGUAAAAAAAAAAAAGUAGGAUGUGAUAAAGGGUAUGCGAUAAAGGGUGCGCAUCAAAGUUGCGCGAUAUGGAUUAAACAGCAGGCUAUAUCAAAUAUUCAAAACUACUGUAUUUACUACUAAACAUAUGAUAAAGUGUAUUUAAAA